This 540-nucleotide ribosomal RNA is filed under the name Triticum aestivum (bread wheat). Its description in RNAcentral is "partial small subunit ribosomal RNA". The record is from RNAcentral. Lineage: Eukaryota; Viridiplantae; Streptophyta; Magnoliopsida; Poales; Poaceae.
AUGUAUGUGAGGGGCCUUGCCCGCCGCCUCCAUAAAAGCAGAACUCCAGCACUGCUAUUCAAGCUCGACAUCUGCAAGGCGUUUGACUCUGUCAAGUGGGAGUACAUUAUAGACCUUCUGCACCGGAGGGGAUUUCCUCCGCGCUUUCAGGAGUGGAUCACGGCCUUGCUUCGUUCAUCUUCCUCGCGAAUCCUCCUUAACGGGUCCCAGGACCCAUUAUCAGGCAUGGUCGCGGCUUUCGGCAGGGAGAUCCGAUCUCUCCCCUGCUCUUUGUCAUUGCCAUCGAUCCUCUGCAGCAAAUUCGCGACCUCGCGACCCGUCGUGGACUUUUACACAAGCUUAGAGGGCGCCGUGCCAUUCUCCGCACAUCCCUAUAUGCCGACGAUGCUGCGGUCUUCAUGGCCCCUAUUAAGGAAGAUGUGGACAACUUUGCUCAGAUCCUCAACUACUUUGGCAAGGUCACGGGCCUCUGCACAAACUUCCAGAAAAGCUCGGUCGUCCCAAUUCGAUAUAGAGACAUCAACUUCGACCACAUCCUAG